GGCCCACUUCACGACGGUCGUGCGCCGGCCUGCAAAGCCGGACGGUCCGGGUUCGACUCCUGGGUGGGCCUCCA
RNAcentral lists this transfer RNA (74 nucleotides) under Amycolatopsis sp. NBRC 101858. RNAcentral's name for it is "tRNA-Cys". It matches the Rfam family "tRNA". Rfam says of the family: Transfer RNA (tRNA) molecules are approximately 80 nucleotides in length. Their secondary structure includes four short double-helical elements and three loops (D, anti-codon, and T loops). The record is from RNAcentral. Lineage: Bacteria; Bacillati; Actinomycetota; Actinomycetes; Pseudonocardiales; Pseudonocardiaceae.